This 73-nucleotide transfer RNA is filed under the name Mesocricetus auratus (golden hamster). It matches the Rfam family "tRNA". From Rfam's summary of the family: Transfer RNA (tRNA) molecules are approximately 80 nucleotides in length. Lineage: Eukaryota; Metazoa; Chordata; Mammalia; Rodentia; Cricetidae. The record is from Rfam by way of RNAcentral.
UGGGAUGUAGCUCAUUGGCUGGAGUGCCUGCUUCAUAUGCAGGAAGCCCUGGGCUUCAUCCCCAAAACCCCAU